RNAcentral lists this ribosomal RNA (519 nucleotides) under uncultured Bacillota bacterium. Its description in RNAcentral is "bacterial SSU rRNA". It matches the Rfam family "Bacterial small subunit ribosomal RNA", at positions 386 to 896 of the family's 1533-position model. Lineage: Bacteria; Bacillati; Bacillota. The record is from RNAcentral.
ACGGAGCAACGCCGCGUGAGUGAUGAAGGUUUUCGGAUCGUAAAACUCUGUUGUUAGGGAAGAACACGUACGAGAGUAACUGCUCGUACCUUGGCGGUACCUAACCAGAAAGCCACGGCUAACUACGUGCCAGCAGCCGCGGUAAUACGUAGGUGGCAAGCGUUGUCCGGAAUUAUUGGGCGUAAAGCGCGCGCAGGUGGUUCCUUAAGUCUGAUGUGAAAGCCCCCGGCUCAACCGGGGAGGGUCAUUGGAAACUGGGGAACUUGAGUGCAGGAGAGGAAAGUGGAAUUCCACGUGUAACGGUGAAAUGCGUAGAUAUGUGGAGGAACACCAGUGGCGAAGGCGACUUUCUGGCCUGUAACUGACACUGAGGCGCGAAAGCGUGGGGAGCAAACAGGAUUAGAUACCCUGGUAGUCCACGCCGUAAACGAUGAGUGCUAAGUGUUGGGGGGUUUCCGCCCCUCAGUGCUGCAGCUAACGCAUUAAGCACUCCGCCUGGGGAGUACGGCCGCAAGGCUG